UAUAUAACAACAAACGGAAGUAGUAAGUUUAAGAAGAAUUUCAGAAAGCAUGUGGUUGAUGUGAACGUGUAACUUAUUAAACUGAACUCGUCCACUUAAGUUUGAUCACUGAACUAAAAGUAAGUGAUUACGUAAAUUCUGCGUUAAAGAUAUCGAGAGUCGCCAUUUGGCGGAACUUAGGUGGUAACGCGAUAAUUCGUCCUAUGA
RNAcentral lists this non-coding RNA (207 nucleotides) under Companilactobacillus tucceti. Its description in RNAcentral is "Lactobacillus tucceti T-box sequence". It matches the Rfam family "T-box leader". From Rfam's summary of the family: Uncharged tRNA acts as the effector for transcription antitermination of genes in the T-box leader family. The record is from RNAcentral. Lineage: Bacteria; Bacillati; Bacillota; Bacilli; Lactobacillales; Lactobacillaceae.